RNAcentral lists this ribosomal RNA (466 nucleotides) under uncultured bacterium. Its description in RNAcentral is "partial 16S ribosomal RNA". It matches the Rfam family "Bacterial small subunit ribosomal RNA", at positions 28 to 507 of the family's 1533-position model. The record is from RNAcentral.
GACGAACGCUGGCGGCGUGCUUAACACAUGCAAGUCGAACGGUAAGGCUCCAGCUUGCUGGGGUACACGAGUGGCGAACGGGUGAGUAACACGUGGGUGACCUGCCCUGCACUUCGGGAUAAGCCUGGGAAACUGGGUCUAAUACCGGAUAGGACCAUGGUGUGGAUACUGUGGUGGACAGUUUUUUCGGUGUGGGAUGGGCUCGCGGCCUAUCAGCUUGUUGGUGAGGUAAUGGCCUACCAAGGCGGCGCCGGGUAGCCGGCCUGAGAGGGUGGACAGCCACAUUGGGCCUGAGAGACGGACCAGACUCCUACGGGAGGCAGCAGUGGGGAAUAUUGCACAAUGGGCGGAAGCCUGAUGCAGCGACGCCGCGUGGGGGAUGACGGCCUUCGGGUUGUAAACUCCUUUCACCAUAGAUGAAGGGUUUCUGACGGUAGAUGGAGAAGAAGCACCGGCUAACUACGUG